CAAUAGCUCAGUUGGAUAGAGCAACGGCCUUCUAAGCCGUGUGCCCGGGGUUCGAAUCCCUGUUG
Molecule: transfer RNA, 65 nt
Filed under: Eubacterium limosum
Lineage: Bacteria; Bacillati; Bacillota; Clostridia; Eubacteriales; Eubacteriaceae
Also listed under: 2 other names
Rfam family: tRNA
About the family: Transfer RNA (tRNA) molecules are approximately 80 nucleotides in length. Their secondary structure includes four short double-helical elements and three loops (D, anti-codon, and T loops).
Source: RNAcentral